UAGUCGUACCUUGGAACAAGAAAGGGGGCACCGUUACACGCACACCUGCACAUACACACAUAAACACACACACACACACACACAGAGGGAGAGAGAGAGAGGUAUCCCAUUUCGGGACUGCAGGCACCGUGUGGCGCCUUGCCCAUCCUUGAGGCCCUUUCUCCACCUCCCUCCUCCUUUCUCCCUCCUUCGGCUGUGAUCGCUGUAAUUUCCGUCUGUUUUGCUGCUGAGAAACACGCUUCUCGCUCUGCUUGCUCGCUUUACGUUUUGCUUGUGUGCCUGUGUGCACGCGAGGAAGGCGCUGGCGAUCUGUCUCUUGUGUGUUUCUGUUUUCUUGUGUCCAUCACCAGGUUUGUUUUCUCUCGCGCAUCCGCGGAUGUUCGCUUCGCCACCACACCUCAUCGUCAUUCAUCCUUGAUCGUUUAUAUCCUCUGUAUUAUUGUUUUCCUCCCAUCUCUCUCUCUUUCUCGCCGUGUGCGCGCCACCGUGAACAGGCACCAUGAGUGGGUCGCCGUUGAACUCGUCACUGCAGCCGGCUCUAACGGCCAGUGAUGAGGCUGUUAUCAAUGAGGGAGUUAGUGUCGUUGUGCGCGUCCGCCCUCUCUCCACAAAGGAGCGGGCAGAUGCGAGGGUGCACAACUGCAUUAAAUGCUUGCCAGACUGCGUCAUCAUUGACGGCAGCGCCCACGCACGGGCAUCCAUGCACGCGAGCCCGGCAGGACCAGCCUCGCAGCCGACGCGCGCCACAACUCGCCCAUAUCAGUUCUCUGUCGAUCAGGUUUUCAACACGCACGCCUCGCAGAUUGAGGUGUACGAGCAGUCGUGCAAGCGCAUCGUAGAGGGUAUCUUCCACGGCAUCAACGGCUCCAUCCUCGCCUACGGCGCCACCGGCUCUGGCAAGACGCACACCAUGUUUGGCAGCACAAUGAGCGCUGCGGGUAUUGUGUACCAGGCCGUCCAGGACAUCUUUGCUGAAAAGGAGCGACUGGAGGAAGAGGAGGGCAAGCGCGUGCGCAUCAAGUGCAGCUUUCUCGAGGUCUACAAUGAGGAUGUGUUUGACCUGCUCGCCAGGCCGGUGGGAGAAGGCAGCGGUGGCGCGAAAUCCUUGGCGAGCAGCGGUGCUGGUGCCUCGGGCCGAGAAGCGAAGCGAGUCCCUCUUCAGGUGCGCGAGGCACCCGACACGACGGCUUCUGCGUCUGCAGGCUUUGAUGCCGGUGAAGGCGGCGGUAUCAACAACGGCGGGCUGCACAUUCGCGGGCUUACACAUAUCUUCCCCGAGACGUUCGAGGACUUCGCCCGGAGCAUCGAGCACGGCCACACACAACGAUUCGUGGCCGCCACCGGGGCUAAUGCGCAGUCGAGCCGCUCGCACGCGAUCAUCACUGUCGAGGUAGAGGUGCGCCACAGUAAUACCUGCGCCAACGUUGGCGACGUGGGCUUUGCGUCGGCGGUGGAUGACGACGCCGAUGCGGCAGAGACAGCCACGGAGUUCUCGCCAACGAAGAAAGCGGCGAAGAGGAAAAAGAGGCCGUUGACGUCGACGGUCACUAUCGCGAAGAUUCAGUUCGCGGAUCUGGCGGGCUCUGAGCGCGCCGCCGCGACCAGCAAUACGGGCCUGCGUCUUCGCGAGGGCGGAAACAUUAACCGGUCGCUGCUAGCGCUCGGUGCGGUCGUGCAGAGCCUGGUGCAGCAGAAGGUGCGGCGGCGGCAGACAGGCGGCAAGGGCGGAGGCAAGAUCUUUAUUCCUUACCGUGGGUCCAAGCUGACACGGUUGCUGCGCGACAGCAUUGGCGGCAACUGCCGCACGCAGAUGCUUUUCUGCCUGAGCCCGAGCACGAAGCACACAGAGGAGACGGUGAACACGAUGAAGUUUGCGAUGAACGCGAAGGAGAUCCAGGUGGAGGCGCACCGCAACGAGUUCGCCGUCAACUCGAGUCAACUAGCCAAAACACAGGAGGCGCUCAUCGAGGAGCUGCGAGAGGAGCUUGCUCGCGCGCAGUCUGCUCUCGCCGCGUACACGAGUGGUCUCAGCGGCAACGACUCGAACAAUAGCAGCAGCGCCGAAGGGAACCAGUCUCAGCGUGCUGACGCGGUGCCGGCGACCGAGAGCAGCGUCGUUGGCAGCGAGAGUCCUUCGCUGACCCUGCACAUUCGACAGGGGGCGUCGCCAUCGACGUCGAACAGCCCUCUUGCUGCCCUCAGCACUGGCAAUCGCAGCCACAGUAGCCCUGCGCCCACACCAUCAGUGCCAGCCUUGCCCUCGUGGCCUGCCAAGAGCGCGCCGCGAGGCACUGUCACACCAUCUGCGGCAGCCGCCGGUGCAGCAGCGUCGUCGCCGUCCGUGAACGGAUGCCAGUCUCCCGUAUCGAUCGGUGGCGCCGACGUGCUGCAGGGCGGGAGCGUGCCGCGCCCGUCCCUCAGCAGCCGCACCGCUCGCCCGUCUGUCUUCUCGGAGACCACUCCGCUUUUCUCUGAGCUGGAGGCAAGGCUAAAAAACUUCUCUGCUCAAAAGGAAAGCCUCUACCACGAGGUGCGCGAGGCGCAGGAGCGCCAGCGUGAUAGGGAGACGCAGCUGCGAGAGCAGCAGUGGCGGCUUGCCACGUUUCUUGUCAGCGACGCCUCCGGCAGCCGCGCACGGGGGGAGGUGGACGGCAACGGCACCACCGGCAUUGGCGUCGCCGGCCUGCGCAAGAUGAUUUCGGCCAUGGAGGCGGAGCAGGCUCAGCAAGCACACCAGCUGACCGCGCUGACAGAGCGGCUCGACGACGCGGAUCGGCAGUUCGCCGCCACGCGGCAGGAGCUGCUGCGCGAGCGUCAGGGCACCUCGCUUGAGCUGCUGCUAGACAACGCGCGUCUGCGCCAAGGUUGCACGGAGGCCGAGUGCCUGGCCGCGCACUACCACCAGGAAUGCCGCUCGCUGCUCAACCGUCAGGCUGAAUACGCCGAAGCGCUGAGCAAGUGUGUCGAGGCUAUUCAGCGCCUUCGUCCGCACCUCGCCCAGCUGACCUCGCCAACGUCCUCCAUGAACGGCAGCAACAGUGGCAACGCCAUCGUGGCCGCGGUCGAGACGGCGAACGUGGCUCUCUUGUACGCGCUGCUGCCCACCGCGUCCACCGCGCAGAUGACGACCGUGUUCGAGUCCGCGUUGCACUCGACCGUGAAAUCGCCGCUGCAGGCGCCGCCGCUGAAAUCGGUCUCUGCCUUCUCCUUUCCUGCGCAGCCAAUGCCCUUUGCGCACCCGCCGCUGGCGCCGAGUCCGACGAACCGGGCCGGUCGCAGCAACAGCUGCAGUCCUCUUCGCGGCGGCGGGCCUGCCGGCACUCGUGGCUCGAAUCACCUCGCGGAGCAUUUCCGCGACCUGAUGGCCACCGCCGAGUCGAUGCAUCUCACCAGCAGUAGCGAGAGGGAUACGAGCGAAAACACAGAGGGGGUUCGCACGCGUCACGGCCAUCUCGUGCAGGCGGCUGACCGCACUAGUAGUCCGGAGCGGCGCCCUUCAACCCAGCAGGCAUGCACGAGCGAUGAGCCCCUUGGCCGGGCCCCCGCAACCGGCAACAAAAACGCCCCCAAAGCGUUCGGGCGCACGUUUAGUCUCACGGGCUUGACGCGAAACACAGCGACGGCGCCACCUGGAGGCCGCAAGAGGCGCCUAUGCCCGGUAGCAGACAAGACGUCGUCGAGUGGACCGGUCGGCGGACACGCGCCUCGGACCAUCAACGGAGCAGCCGCCAAAAAGAGCUUUGGUGGUGGCGCACUGCGCGCGCAAGCGCUCCAGCGGUCUGUCUCCGCCCCGCUCCCGUUUACUCGCUCAGCGUCACGCACACAAGGCCCAGCUGCUGGGCCAGCUCGCAAACCUAAGGCAGCUAGUGCCUCAGGCCCCGCCGCUGCAUCAUUGACGCGACGCCACGCUGGCGCACAGAACGCUACCCAGCAUCGGGCCAACAGGAAGACGCCCGUCGGCAGUCCCGGUGCCGGGCACACCACCACAGCUUCUUCCUUCGCCUUUGUGCGCAGCAACCAUGCGUCUGCGCUGCGGGCGCUUGCAUUCGCUAUGGACAGUGCAGACUCUAGCCUUAGAGGACGGUCGAACCGUCGCAGAGAGGUGAAUUCGUCACCGCCGACGGCUGCGCGGGCGUCUUCGGAGGCGACAGCGAACAGCGGCAGCAGUCGCAGCAUGCCGAACACCAACGGUGCCGCCAAGAGGAGGCAGAGCAGCAGCAGUACAGGCAACAAGUUCGCCGCCAUCAACCCGAUGCAAUCUUGCCCCGACGCAGACUGCAGCCCAUCACUUGCGCAGGCUCAGCAGGAGAGGAAGCGCACCAGCGGUGGCGCGGCGCCGCACCUGCUCGGUUUCGCACCUUCAUCAUCGUCGAAGUUUGAGCGCACCAGUAAGAAGGCAGGCAAACUUGCCCGAUCCCAGGCUGCAUUCGUUCCUGUUAGUACCCCUCGCGUGGCCGGGGCUUCAGGGGUCCUGCUGCAGCGCCGAUCGGAUUCUGCUACUGACACCGCGGCAACCUUUACCUCCGCGGGAAGCCCGUCUCGCAUCUCGUCCUCCAGCAGCGAUAGCAGCAGCCUCAACGUGAGCUGCGAGUCUGCGCCGUCACGCUACAACGUUUCGCCAGAGGGUCGAACUGCCACACCUGAGACGGGCGCGCACAAGACGAAAAAGGCUGCCAAUGGUCCACGAAAAAGCCAUGACAAAACCCCACAGCUGACGGUGGCGCGCCUGCUGGAGUGCGCGGCGGCGGCGGCGCCUGCGUUACCGCAGUACAACGCCACUUUGUCUCCGAACACACACGGUAGCGAUUGCGUGAACAAGGAGAACGGCCAACAGCCACUUCAGUCGCGCACGCGCACUUCCUUCACGGAUGACCUCAUGGUGAGUAUCAGCACAUGCUUCUCCGAUGGACUGUCUCCGAACAGUCGGGGACAAGUAUCCUCGAGCCACUGCUAGCAGCGCGCGAUAGUGGCACAGGACGUGAGUGAGUAUCGGGGUGAUGCACGGCUGUCCACUGCACGCGCUGGUCGUGCAACUGGUCCGCUUUUUUCCCUUUCCUCUCUCUUUUCAACUGCCUUCCUCCUGUCGUUGUUCCGGAGCACACAACGCUAUUCACGUGUGGCUCUUUAACAACGUCGGAAGUAUCCACCCUCUCCUCUUUCUCCGCCUUCACCUUGCUCACCUUCGAGUUCGCCGCUUCUUUCGUUGUUGUCGGUGUGUGUGCUUUCCGCCCAGAGAUUCGCUACACGUUUUCCUUUGUUUUUCUUUUUCUUCUGUGGAGGGCGGAGGCCGUACGCGCACGCAUUUCUGUUCAUGUUCUGUUUUUUUUUUUCCUUUCGCUUCUACUAGACCGAUGCGCGCUCCCUCCCCUCCCUCCGUGGUUGUGCUCGCUUCGCCCUCCCCCCUCCGGUGCAGUGUAUGGAAAUAUGGAGGGGGGCGGCGCGGAUAGAAAUGGGUGGUGGGGAGAGCAGGGAAAAAAGGGGGAGGUGUGCGUGUAUGUGUACAGUCUCUGAUCAUGUGGGCAGCAGGCCUGCGUCCUUGUUCUCCCUUUCUCUUCCUGUGGCUGCGAUGCCUCCCUCUCUUGUUGGUCGUUUGCAUGUCGUGCACACGUGUGGGUGUCUUGUUGCAUUUUUUUUUUUGCGGGCUCAACGCCCCUUCGUCCCACCACCACCACCACCACUGCAGCACAUGGGAAGCGCCUUCACAUACACACAUACACAUACACACUCGAACAUCGCUCCUCCUUUUUUAGAAUUGGAUGACUCCUCGCUUGUCUACCUGUCUGUCUGCCUCUCUCCCUGCGUACCGGUGCGUCAUACAUGGCACAGCCACACUUUAUAUUUCGCUGCUGAGCUUUCUUUCUGUGUGAGUUAUGUAUGGUGUGUGUCCAUCCGUCUGUGUUUGCGUUGGUUUUUGUUUUCGCCUUGCCAUGACACUUGUUGACGCGCACACGCGCUGGAGAGAGGCGAAGAGGCCCCCUCUUCCUCAAAAAAUAUAAAAAAUAUGGUCAUCCUGUAUACCGAAACGAGAAGGGAACGCAGAAACGUACUGUGCUGCCUGGGUAAGAGGCACGACACAUGCUCAGUGUUGCCUCUCGCGAAGAAGCCGAACGAUCGAACGAUGAGGGGCGGGCGUGGGUGUGGGCUAAGAGACGAUAGACGGAAUGUAAAGGCUCACGGAGUGGUGCAAAUACGGUCUCGGGGGAGCAAGAGGGACGGCGUGAGUAAGGGUACGGCUAUGAUCGCGAUAACUGCCGCGACGGAGUGUGUAAUAAAGCGCAAACAGGGGUAAGAUGAGGUGGGGGAGGGGAGGGAGGAGGAUGACAAAAUAAAUCAAACUUUUUUUUUGCUUUCUUUCUGUGUGUGUGUGUGUCUUUUCCAGGAAGAAGCGCGCCUUGCCGACCUCCUUCCUUCAUCCCUCCCCUCUCCCCUCCUCCCCUCCUCCCCUCCUAUCGCCACCCCCCUUUGUUUUUCUUUUUUUUUCCUUCUCUGGCUGUGGCCCAGUUGGGACUCUUCCAUCUCGUAUUAUGGUAACUUCCUUCCUCUACAUCCUGUCAACGGACAGAGCACAUUACCGGGUGCGUCUGCGUGGGUGUGGGUGAUGUGGUGCGCAUAGGCGUUUUCCUUCCUUCUUUUGCGUGCAUAUGUAUACGUGUAUGUGUACGUAGUGUGUGUAUGUGUGUCGUUUUUUUUUGGUGGCAAUCGUGGUGCUUUUGAUCUUUUCUUCCCUAAGUCCUGCGCUCAUCCCACUAACGAUGCAAGGCACAUAAAAGCGCUUGCCAACAUCUCCAACCAGAGCGUCACCACCGGCUGCGUCGCUGCUACAUGGAAAACAGAGAGGGGGAGGGGCCCUUGCGCCCUUUCUGAUGCCGAACAUUGCCGAUGGUGGUCCCACGCCCUCACUCCGCCCCGCCCUGUGACGCUGGCCAACAAUCUGUGCCAGCUUCUCGAGCGAAUUGCCUCGCGACGACUGCGCGGCCAUCUGGGAGACACGCUCCAACCACAGCAGUCCGUCUUCCGUCCCCACCGCUCCACCGCAGACCCCGUGGACUUGCUCCUCCACAAAGCAGUGCAGCGCGGGCCAGGCAUGAAGAUGGGAGCAGUGUCUGUGGACUCUACACUCGGAUGUUCGACGCGCUAGGCUAUGGCGCUGAAGAGGUUCAACGUCGACCCAUACCGUACUCGCAGGAUCAUGUGUUUCGCGGACGUUCGCCCCGCCUGUGUUUGCUUCCACACGG
RNAcentral lists this unclassified non-coding RNA (7235 nucleotides) under Leishmania donovani. RNAcentral's name for it is "gene:LdHU3.11.1070(CDS-product:kinesin_putative)". The record is from RNAcentral. Lineage: Eukaryota; Euglenozoa; Kinetoplastea; Trypanosomatida; Trypanosomatidae.